CUUCUUCUACACCACAACUUCUUCCUCAUUUCUUCUACUAGCAAACAAACACACAAGAAAAUGGUGAGUUGAGAGAAAUUAAAAGCUUCGGUGGUGAAGACAUUAGGGAAAACAUAACGUGUGAGUGUGCGAGUGAGAUUGGGAGUCCAAAACUUGGUUUCUGUUUAAGAUUGUGCAGAAGACUUCAACCGAAGCCAUUUUUCUACAAUAUUUCUAGAAGUUGCAGACCGAGCAGGUAUGCCACUGUCCCUCUUUUUUCUCUUCCAUUUAGUUAAUCUAGUGAGCCUUAUGUAACCUAGAAUCAUAAUAGGAUAUUAGGGAUUUGUUAGAAAUCAAUUAGACAAAGCUAAACACUCUAGGAAACUGGAAAUUAAUCUCACUAUCUACAACAGUUGCGCGUAUUGCGGAACUGUUCUUCAACCUUUCAAUCCAACCUUUUCUUGUGAUUCUUUGGCAUGUUGCUGCUAUUUCUUUAAGGUAAAAUGGGUAGUAGUUUAGUUCAUACAAAGAUGGCAUUUCUAGAUUGCAUUUCAUGGGAUGUGUUCUUUAAAAAUGCAUAGAGGAAGUGGAUUUUCAAAUGGAAAAAGGGUUAGUGCGUUCAUCUUGUGCUUGAUAAUUAUCUAAUCUAUUUUAAUUGUAUUUAAUAAGUUUUUGUUAUAUUUGAACGUGAUUGAUGACGGUGAACGUCUUAAAACCAGAAUAGAGAAGAAGAGGGACGCAUAACAGAGGCCAUUAGCCUCUGCUAAGCGUUCGGGCAUCAAAAUGCCCUUGAAAUCAUGCUUCAUAGUUUCUUUUGUGCUAACACAUGAAAGAGAGGGAUUUUAGGUGCAAAUGAAUAACCUGGAAUCGCCUCUAGUAGUUUGCUAACGCGCAGAUACCGAUCCAAA
Long non-coding RNA from Carica papaya (papaya), 887 nucleotides. RefSeq lists it as uncharacterized. NCBI's taxonomy places the organism in Eukaryota, Viridiplantae, Streptophyta, Magnoliopsida, Brassicales, Caricaceae. The record is from RefSeq and is a predicted model, not a curated record.